Molecule: long non-coding RNA, 427 nt
Filed under: Salvia miltiorrhiza (redroot sage)
Lineage: Eukaryota; Viridiplantae; Streptophyta; Magnoliopsida; Lamiales; Lamiaceae
Description: long non-coding RNA (SMIL_LNC013106)
Source: RNAcentral
GAAAAAAUGCCGUAUCCAUAAAAAGACUUUGAUUGGAAAUUGACGUGUCAAAUUUCAACAGGGCAAAAGGUCAUCGGAGGACGCGUUGUAAGGAAACAGUGGUCCCAGCAGCGGAUCGUCACAUACGUGGCGCAUUCUAGAGGAUUGACGUGAUUCUUGUGCAUUUGUUUUUUGUUUAUUUUUUUAGCUUUUUUAGAGAAGAUUCUUCUGCGUGUUUGCUUCGCUGUAAACUUUCCAUUCCUUUAAUUGGUUUUGGGUGACGCUUCUUUGCGACAAAAUUAGUGCAAUGAUCUGAAUUAAUUAAAAAUUUGAACAUGAUAAAUAGAUUCCCGAACCGGAGAUUAUCUACAAUUUCUUAUGCCGUCUCUUAAUUAAAUCAUUAAAUUAUCACUAUGCGUAUCGUUUCAGGAAAAGUAAAAUAAAAAUU